This 86-nucleotide transfer RNA is filed under the name Chloroflexota bacterium. Its description in RNAcentral is "tRNA-Leu". It matches the Rfam family "tRNA". From Rfam's summary of the family: Transfer RNA (tRNA) molecules are approximately 80 nucleotides in length. Their secondary structure includes four short double-helical elements and three loops (D, anti-codon, and T loops). Lineage: Bacteria; Bacillati; Chloroflexota. RNAcentral also lists the same sequence under 2 other names. The record is from RNAcentral.
GCCGAGGUGGCGGAACGGCAGACGCGCUGCGUUCAGGGCGCAGUGUCCUUACGGGCGUAGGAGUUCAAAUCUCCUCCUCGGCACCA